RNAcentral lists this ribosomal RNA (465 nucleotides) under Vreelandella stevensii. RNAcentral's name for it is "partial 16S ribosomal RNA". It matches the Rfam family "Bacterial small subunit ribosomal RNA", at positions 338 to 795 of the family's 1533-position model. Lineage: Bacteria; Pseudomonadati; Pseudomonadota; Gammaproteobacteria; Oceanospirillales; Halomonadaceae. The record is from RNAcentral.
CCUACGGGCGGCAGCAGUGGGGAAUAUUGGACAAUGGGGGGAACCCUGAUCCAGCCAUGCCGCGUGUGUGAAGAAGGCCCUCGGGUUGUAAAGCACUUUCAGUGAGGAAGAACGCCUGGUGGUUAAUACCCAUCAGGAAAGACAUCACUCACAGAAGACGCACCGGCUAACUCCGUGCCAGCAGCCGCGGUAAUACGGAGGGUGCGAGCGUUAAUCGGAAUUACUGGGCGUAAAGCGCGCGUAGGUGGCUUGAUAAGCCGGUUGUGAAAGCCCCGGGCUCAACCUGGGAACGGCAUCCGGAACUGUCAAGCUAGAGUGCGGGAGAGGAAGGUAGAAUUCCCGGUGUAGCGGUGAAAUGCGUAGAGAUAGGGAGGAAUACCAGUGGCGAAGGCGGCCUUCUGGACUGACACUGACACUGAGGUGCGAAAGCGUGGGUAGCAAACAGGAUUAGAUACCCCUGUAGUC